GAUGAACGCUGGCGGCGUGCCUAAUACAUGCAAGUCGAGCGAACAGACGAGGAGCUUGCUCCUCUGACGUUAGCGGCGGACGGGUGAGUAACACGUGGAUAACCUACCUAUAAGACUGGGAUAACUUCGGGAAACCGGAGCUAAUACCGGAUAAUAUAUUGAACCGCAUGGUUCAAUAGUGAAAGACGGUUUUGCUGUCACUUAUAGAUGGAUCCGCGCCGCAUUAGCUAGUUGGUAAGGUAACGGCUUACCAAGGCAACGAUGCGUAGCCGACCUGAGAGGGGGAUCGGCCACACUGGAACUGAGACACGGUCCAGACUCCUACGGGAGGCAGCAGUAGGGAAUCUUCCGCAAUGGGCGAAAGCCUGACGGAGCAACGCCGCGUGAGUGAUGAAGGUCUUCGGAUCGUAAAACUCUGUUAUUAGGGAAGAACAAAUGUGUAAGUAACUAUGCACGUCUUGACGGGACCUAAUCAGAAAGCCACGGCUAACUACGU
RNAcentral lists this ribosomal RNA (496 nucleotides) under uncultured bacterium. Its description in RNAcentral is "partial 16S ribosomal RNA". It matches the Rfam family "Bacterial small subunit ribosomal RNA", at positions 28 to 506 of the family's 1533-position model. The record is from RNAcentral.